Molecule: unclassified non-coding RNA, 331 nt
Filed under: soil metagenome
Description: partial contains 5.8S ribosomal RNA, internal transcribed spacer 2, and large subunit ribosomal RNA
Rfam family: 5.8S ribosomal RNA (bases 1-120)
Source: RNAcentral
GAUGAAGAACGCAGCGAAAUGCGAUAAGUAGUGUGAAUUGCAGAAUUCAGUGAAUCAUCGAAUCUUUGAACGCACAUUGCGCCUCCUGGUAUUCCGGGGGGCAUGCCUGUUCGAGCGUCAUUUCACCACUCAAGCCUCGCUUGGUAUUGGGCAACGCGGUCCGCCGCGUGCCUCAAAUCGACCGGCUGGGUCUUCUGUCCCCUAAGCGUUGUGGAAACUAUUCGCUAAAGGGUGUUCGGGAGGCUACGCCGUAAAACAACCCCAUUUCUAAGGUUGACCUCGGAUCAGGUAGGGAUACCCGCUGAACUUAAGCAUAUCAAUAAGCGGAGGA